AGAAAAUGGCGUUCGGAGAUUAUCCAGCAGAGUAUAAUCCCAAAAUACAUGGGCCAUAUGACCCAGCCCGUUAUUAUGGACCUCGUAAGUGAAUAUAGUCGUA
This is a non-coding RNA of Zootermopsis nevadensis, 103 nucleotides long. The record is from Rfam. Lineage: Eukaryota; Metazoa; Arthropoda; Insecta; Blattodea; Termopsidae.